This 620-nucleotide ribosomal RNA is filed under the name uncultured bacterium. Its description in RNAcentral is "bacterial SSU rRNA". It matches the Rfam family "Bacterial small subunit ribosomal RNA", at positions 9 to 610 of the family's 1533-position model. The record is from RNAcentral.
GAGUUUGAUCCUGGCUCAGGAUGAACGCUGGCGGCGUGCCUAGUACAUGCAAGUCGAGCGAAUGGAUUAAGAGCUUGCCCUUAUGAAGUUAGCGGCGGACGGGUGAGUAACACGUGGGUAACCUACCUAUAAGACUGGGAUAACUCCGGGAAACCGGGGCUAAUACCGGAUAAUAUUUUGAACUGCAUAGUUCGAAAUUGAAAGGCGGCUUCGGCUGUCACUUAUGGAUGGACCCGCGUCGCAUUAGCUAGUUGGUGAGGUAACGGCUCACCAAGGCGACGAUGCGUAGCCGACCUGAGAGGGUGAUCGGCCACACUGGGACUGAGACACGGCCCAGACUCCUACGGGAGGCAGCAGUAGGGAAUCUUCCGCAAUGGACGAAAGUCUGACGGAGCAACGCCGCGUGAGUGAUGAAGGCUUUCGGGUCGUAAAACUCUGUUGUCAGAGAAGAACAAGUCGGAGAGUAACUGCUCCGGCCUUGACGGUAUCUGACCAGGAAGCCACGGCUAACUACGUGCCAGCAGCCGCGGUAAUACGUAGGUGGCAAGCGUUGUCCGGAUUUAUUGGGCGUAAAGCGAGCGCAGGCGGUUCCUUAAGUCUGAUGUGAAAGCCCACGGCUC